RNAcentral lists this ribosomal RNA (811 nucleotides) under uncultured bacterium. Its description in RNAcentral is "bacterial SSU rRNA". It matches the Rfam family "Bacterial small subunit ribosomal RNA", at positions 1 to 807 of the family's 1533-position model. The record is from RNAcentral.
UAGAGUUUGAUCCUGGCUCAGAUUGAACGCUGGCGGCAGGCCUAACACAUGCAAGUCGAGCGGUAACACAGAGGAGCUUGCUCCUUGGGUGACGAGCGGCGGACGGGUGAGUAAUGCCUGGGGAUCUGCCCGAUAGAGGGGGAUAACUACGGGAAACUGUAGCUAAUACCGCAUAACGUCUACGGACCAAAGUGGGGGCUCUUCGGACCUCAUGCUAUCGGAUGAACCCAGGUGGGAUUAGCUAGCUGGUGAGGUAAUGGCUCACCAAGGCGACGAUCUCUAACUGGUUUGAGAGAAUGACCAGUCACACUGGAACUGAGACACGGUCCAGACUCCUACGGGAGGCAGCAGUGGGGAAUAUUGCACAAUGGGCGCAAGCCUGAUGCAGCCAUGCCGCGUGUGUGAAGAAGGCCUUCGGGUUGUAAAGCACUUUCAGCGGGGAGGAAGGGUCACUAGUUAAUACCUAGUGGCAUUGACGUUACUCGCAGAAGAAGCACCGGCUAACUCCGUGCCAGCAGCCGCGGUAAUACGGAGGGUGCAAGCGUUAAUCGGAAUUACUGGGCGUAAAGCGCACGCAGGCGGUUUGUUAAGUCAGAUGUGAAAUCCCCGAGCUCAACUUGGGAACUGCAUUUGAAACUGGCAAGCUAGAGUCUUGUAGAGGGGGGUAGAAUUCCAGGUGUAGCGGUGAAAUGCGUAGAGAUCUGGAGGAAUACCGGUGGCGAAGGCGGCCCCCUGGACAAAGACUGACGCUCAGGUGCGAAAGCGUGGGGAGCAAACAGGAUAAGAUACCCUGGUAGUCCACGCUGUAAAC